AUACAGAGGGUGCAAGCGUUAAUCGGAUUUACUGGGCGUAAAGCGCGCGUAGGCGGCUAAUUAAGUCAAAUGUGAAAUCCCCGAGCUUAACUUGGGAAUUGCAUUCGAUACUGGUUAGCUAGAGUGUGGGAGAGGAUGGUAGAAUUCCAGGUGUAGCGGUGAAAUGCGUGGAGAUCUGGAGGAAUACCGAUGGCGAAGGCAGCCAUCUGGCCUAACACUGACGCUGAGGUGCGAAAGCAUGGGGAGCAAACAGGAUUAGAAACCCUAGUAGUCC
This 274-nucleotide ribosomal RNA is filed under the name uncultured bacterium. RNAcentral describes it as "partial 16S ribosomal RNA". It matches the Rfam family "Bacterial small subunit ribosomal RNA", at positions 523 to 796 of the family's 1533-position model. The record is from RNAcentral.